Molecule: ribosomal RNA, 313 nt
Filed under: uncultured Anaerolineaceae bacterium
Lineage: Bacteria; Bacillati; Chloroflexota; Anaerolineae; Anaerolineales; Anaerolineaceae
Description: bacterial SSU rRNA
Rfam family: Bacterial small subunit ribosomal RNA
Source: RNAcentral
AGCUCGUGUCGUGAGAUGUUCGGUUAAGUCCGCUAACGAGCGCAACCCGCGUUUGUGUGUUACAAGUGUCACACAAUACCGCCGGUAUUAAGUCGGAGGAAGGUGCGGAUGACGUCAAGUCAGCAUGACCUUUAUAUCCAGGGCUACACACACGCUACAAUGGUCGGCACAAUAGGUUGCCAAGUCGUGAGACGGAGCCAAUCCUCCAAAGCCGGCCUCAGUUCAGAUUGCAGGCUGCAACUCGCCUGCAUGAAGUUGGAGUUGCUAGUAAACGCAGGUCAGCUAUACUGCGUUGAAUACGUUCCCGGGGAUU